UACGUAGGGUGCGAGCGUUGUCCGGAAUUACUGGGCGUAAAGAGCUCGUAGGUGGUUUGUCGCGUUGUUCGUGAAAACUCACAGCUCAACUGUGGGCGUGCGGGCGAUACGGGCAGACUGGAGUACUGCAGGGGAGACUGGAAUUCCUGGUGUAGCGGUGGAAUGCGCAGAUAUCAGGAGGAACACCGGUGGCGAAGGCGGGUCUCUGGGCAGUAACUGACGCUGAGGAGCGAAAGCGUGGGGAGCUAACAGG
RNAcentral lists this ribosomal RNA (253 nucleotides) under uncultured bacterium. RNAcentral describes it as "partial 16S ribosomal RNA". It matches the Rfam family "Bacterial small subunit ribosomal RNA", at positions 524 to 776 of the family's 1533-position model. The record is from RNAcentral.